RNAcentral lists this ribosomal RNA (458 nucleotides) under uncultured bacterium. RNAcentral describes it as "bacterial SSU rRNA". It matches the Rfam family "Bacterial small subunit ribosomal RNA", at positions 337 to 793 of the family's 1533-position model. The record is from RNAcentral.
ACCUACGGGGGGCAGCAGUAGGGAAUAUUGGUCAAUGGGUGAAAGCCUGAACCAGCCAUGCCGCGUGCAGGAAGAAAGCCUUCUGGGUUGUAAACUGCUUUUAUCAGGGGAUAAAAUACCCGUGCGCGGGGAAUUGAAGGUACCUGAUGAAUAAGCCACGGCUAACUACGUGCCAGCAGCCGCGGUAAUACGUAGGUGGCAAGCGUUGUCCGGAUUUAUUGGGUUUAAAGGGUGCGUAGGCGGUCCUAUAAGUCAGUGGUGAAAUACUCCAGCUCAACUGGAGAGGUGCCAUUGAUACUGCAGGACUAGAGUACUGAUGAGGUAGGCGGAAUGGACGGUGUAGCGGUGAAAUGCUUAGAUAUCGUCCAGAACACCGAUAGCGAAGGCAGCUUACUAAAGAGUAACUGACGCUGAGGCACGAAAGUGUGGGGAUCAAACAGGAUUAGAUACCCGAGUAU